AGUGAACGCUGGCGGCAGGCCUAAUACAUGCAAGUCGAACGGCAGCACAGCAGAGCUUGCUCUGUGGGUGGCGAGUGGCGGACGGGUGAGGAGUACAUGGGAAUCUGCCCAGUCGUGGGGGAUAACGUAUGGAAACGUACGCUAAUACCGCAUGCGCCCUAAGGGGGAAAGCCGGGGACCGCAAGGCCUGGCGCGAUUGGAUGAGCCCAUGUUCGAUUAGCUAGUUGGCGGGGUAAAGGCCCACCAAGGCGACGAUCGAUAGCUGGUCUGAGAGGAUGAUCAGCCACACUGGAACUGAGACACGGUCCAGACUCCUACGGGAGGCAGCAGUAGGGAAUAUCGGACAAUGGGGGCAACCCUGAUCCAGCCAUGCCGCGUGAGUGAAGAAGGCCCUCGGGUUGUAAAGCUCUUU
RNAcentral lists this ribosomal RNA (412 nucleotides) under uncultured bacterium. RNAcentral describes it as "bacterial SSU rRNA". It matches the Rfam family "Bacterial small subunit ribosomal RNA", at positions 29 to 436 of the family's 1533-position model. The record is from RNAcentral.